AAGAGUAUAGUUCAACGGUAAAACAAGAAGCUUCAAACUUCAAAUUCUUAGUUCAAAUCUAGGUGCUCUUG
This 71-nucleotide transfer RNA is filed under the name Cyphellophora attinorum. RNAcentral describes it as "Phialophora attae tRNA". It matches the Rfam family "tRNA". Rfam says of the family: Transfer RNA (tRNA) molecules are approximately 80 nucleotides in length. Lineage: Eukaryota; Fungi; Ascomycota; Eurotiomycetes; Chaetothyriales; Cyphellophoraceae. The record is from Rfam by way of RNAcentral.